CUUGCACUACAUCAGUUUUUGAUGACGCAGUACACAAAAAAAUACACUUCGUAAAACGUAUUUCCGGGAACGGUUGUUUUUGUCGGGGACGAAUUGUAUAGGUACAGCUCUUUUAAAAAAGAGGAAGAAAACUAUUGAAAGAGAUCUUAAUCUUUAAAACGUUUUUGAAAGGGAGAUAUUGAUUACUAAAAAAAGAACAAAGUUACAUUGAGAGCAACAAGACGGCAAUGAAAUAUGGACACGCCCACGGAGUCGGCAAACAGAAAUGUGUGUUUACUAACUUUAGGUGACAUGACGGAUGGACAGCUUGAAAAUAUAAGUAAAGAACAUUGUUAUAGCAGAGGUCUAAAACGUAAAUACUUGGAACUACAUGAUGAUGUAGAUGGUCAACAAGAACAUAACCAGUCUUUGUCACCAGCAGAUGAUUGCUUUGAUGACAACUAUGAUGCAUGUCAAUCAGAGAUUGAAAGUGAAAAAGAUGAGGAUGAGGAAGAAGAGGAGGGGCUCUUGGAGGUCGCAGGAUUGUAGAGUUGAGUGUUUUGGCUGCAAAAUUAGGUGAAGGCUGCAGUAAUUGCUCUACAGAGCUAAAACUUUCAUCCUGUGUUGGAGAAACCAGAUAUGGCCUAGGCAGUCUCCUCAAAAUUCAUUGCAAUAAUUGCAAUGAAAUUAAUAAUGUACCUACUGGCAAGAGACAUGGUCAAAAUACAUGGGAUAUUAAUACCAAAUUGGGUGCAGCUGUGGUAUUUUGUGGACUUGGAGAAAUGACCGUUAACAGUUUCCUUGCUGCUUUGAAUAUUCCCACUGUAACUUCUGUAACUUUUAAGAGACGAGAGAGGGAGGUUGGCAGUAUUUUUGAAGCUGUUGCAAAUGAGACUUGUAAUGAAGCCCUUGCCGAGGAGAAAAAAGGGUUCAGUAAAAAU
Molecule: long non-coding RNA, 920 nt
Organism: Magallana angulata
Lineage: Eukaryota; Metazoa; Mollusca; Bivalvia; Ostreida; Ostreidae
Exons: 5
Source: RefSeq, a predicted model, not a curated record